This 1369-nucleotide ribosomal RNA is filed under the name uncultured marine bacterium. Its description in RNAcentral is "bacterial SSU rRNA". It matches the Rfam family "Bacterial small subunit ribosomal RNA", at positions 27 to 1381 of the family's 1533-position model. The record is from RNAcentral.
GAUUGAACGCUGGCGGUAUGCUUAACACAUGCAAAAUCGAACGGAAACGAUACUAGCUUGCUAGUAGGCGUCGAGUGGCGGACGGGUGAGUAACGCGUAGGAAUCUACCUGAUAGUGGGGGAUAGCCCGAAGAAAUUCGGAUUAAUACCGCAUAAUCUAUUCGUAGUAAAGUGGGGGACUUUCGAGCCUCACGCUAUCAGAUGAGCCUGCGUAAGAUUAGCUAGUUGGUAGGGUAAAAGCCUACCAAGGCUACGAUCUUUAGCUGGUCUGAGAGGAUGAUCAGCCACAUCGGGAGUGAGACACGGCCCGAACUCCUAGGAGGAGGCAGCAGUGGGGAAUAUUGGACAAUGGGGGCAACCCUGAUCCAGCAAUACCGCGUGUGUGAAGAAGGCCUGAGGGUUGUAAAGCACUUUCAAUUGUGAAGAAAAGCUAGUGGUUAAUAGCCAUUAGCCUUGACGUUAACUUUAGAAGAAGCACCGGCUAACUCCGUGCCAGCAGCCGCGGUAAUACGGAGGGUGCAAGCGUUAAUCGGAAUUACUGGGCGUAAAGCGUGCGUAGGCGGUUUAUUAAGUCAGAUGUGAAAGCCCCGGGCUUAACCUGGGGAACUGCAUUUGAAACUGGUUAACUAGAGUAUGGGUAGAGGAAAGUGGAAUUUCUGGUGUAGCGGUGAAAUGCGUAGAUAUCAGAAGGAACAUCAAUGGCGAAAGGCAACUUUCUGGACCAAUACUGACGCUGAGGUACGAAAGCGUGGGUAGCAAACAGGAUUAGAUACCCUGGUAGUCCACGCCGUAAACGAUGACAACUAGCCGUUGGGAGGGUUUACCUCUUAGUGGCGAAGCUAACGCGUUAAGUUGUCCGCCUGGGGAGUACGGCCGCAAGGUUAAAACUCAAAGGAAUUGACGGGGACCCGCACAAGCGGUGGAGCAUGUGGUUUAAUUCGAUGCAACGCGAAGAACCUUACCUGGUCUUGACAUACACGGAACUUUCCAGAGAUGGAUUGGUGCCUUCGGGAACCGUGAUACAGGUGCUGCAUGGCUGUCGUCACCUCGUGUCGUGAGAUGUUGGGUUAACCCCCGUAACGAGCGCAACCCCUAUCCUUAUUUGCCAGCACGUCAUGGUGGGAACUAUAAGGAGACUGCCGGUGAUAAACCGGAGGAAGGCGGGGACGACGUCAAGUCAUCAUGGCCCUUACGACCAGGGCUACACACGUGCUACAAUGGGAAGGACAAAGGGUUGCUAAGCCGCGAGGUGGUGCUAAUCUCAUAAACCUUUUCGUAGUCCGGAUCGGAGUCUGCAACUCGACUCCGUGAAGUCGGAAUCGCUAGUAAUCGUGUGAUCAGAAUGCCACGGUGAAUACGUUCCCGGGCCU